This 1095-nucleotide long non-coding RNA is filed under the name Gossypium barbadense (sea-island cotton). RNAcentral's name for it is "long non-coding RNA (GBAR_LNC000545)". The record is from RNAcentral. Lineage: Eukaryota; Viridiplantae; Streptophyta; Magnoliopsida; Malvales; Malvaceae.
UAUAGAUUCCCUUAUUAGGUUUGACCCUAAUCCGGCAGAUUUAUGUCGCCCUAUAUCUAGGGGUGCAAUCAACUCCGCUUAAUUAUGCUAGAUCUACUCUUAGACAGUGACUUUUGCUCCUCUGAAUAAGCACAUCAAAACUUGAAUUAAUAUCCUGGAAUAUUAAAACAAGAAUUAAGAACACAUAAUUAAGAAUAAAUCAAGUAUUUAUCAUAUAAUUCAGAACAUAAUAACAAGAUCCGUCUUAGGUUUCAUUCCUCUUAGGUAUUUAGGGGACUUAGUUCAUAAGUGUAAAAGGAAACAUCUUAGAAGAAUAAUAAUAACAAAACAUAAAGAAAACCCAAAAACCUCUAAAGGAAAUUGAAGGGAGAUCUUUAGUCUUGAAGGAGAAUCUGGCUUCUGAGAUGGAUCAAUCGGCUUUCUUCGAGUAAUUCCUUGCCUCCUACUCCACGUGUCUCUUAGGUGCCUCAUUUGGUGUUUAUAUAGACUUUAGAAUGCUUUAAAACCCUCAAAAGUGUCCUUUUUUUAGUAGAACUAGACUUGGGCUCGACAGGGACACGCCCGUGUGAGGUGGCUUAGGCCGUGUUGCAAUCUGUUAAAUAGACAUGGGCAUGUGAACUACCCGUGUGAGGAAGUCCAGGCCGUGUUGAUUUCCCACGUUGACUCAUUUUCUCCAUUUUUGGCCCGUUUCUCGCUCUUUUUACUCUCCUAUGCUCACCUAAGUAUAAAACAUGAAAUUAAAGGAUUAGGAGCAUCGAAGUCCACAAAUCUAAUGAUAAUUCAUCCUAAAAUAUGCUAAGCAUGGGAUAAAAAUAUGUAUAAAUUACGACUUAUCAAAUACCCCACACUUAAGCGUUUGCUUGUCCUCAAGCAAAAUCCUCAACUCACAAUCAAAAUAAAUUCUUCUCAACUUAUAAUUCUCAUCAAUAGUAUCUCAAAAUAAUCCAUAAGUAAUCAUACAUUGAAAAUUCAACCCGAAGAACAUCAAAGUUUCAAACAUUCCAUGUUGAGCAUUUUAUCACGAAAACAUAAGUGUCUCCCAUCAUCUAAAUAAUCACCUUUGAUUCAAAAUAUCACAUAGUUUCACAUCCUCAC